CUUGAUCGAUCCCAGCAGCAGCGGGCGGCCGGCUUCCCGGUCCUGGCCGUAGGUGGCCAGCAGCGCCUGCGCCUC
Molecule: antisense RNA, 75 nt
Filed under: Streptomyces albireticuli
Lineage: Bacteria; Bacillati; Actinomycetota; Actinomycetes; Kitasatosporales; Streptomycetaceae
Description: ASpks TB sRNA
Rfam family: ASpks TB sRNA
Source: Rfam by way of RNAcentral